CUGAGUGCAGAGGUGAUCGCCCGGACCCCGGCACAGCAGGGGUGGGGAAGGGACUUAGGAAGGUAUGGUUGGCAGAGGAAGUGGGGCCGAAGACCCUAGGCGCCGAGAGGGAGAGAGCUCCGUCUCAGCCACGGCCACCACGGUGGUCUCAGGAAGAGUGUCAGGGAGGAGACUCCAGCUCUGAGGAUCCAGGCUCUUUGGCGCUUAACGGAGGAGCCUCCCGGAGCUCAGUGGGGGAGCCUACGGUGAUGGUGGCAGCUAUUCCCGGAGCGGCCGCGGUGACAUUGCACCCAGCACCGCAGUAGCUCCUAGCCCGGGCCGCGGGUAGCAGACUCCAUCAGGGGCUGCUUGCCCACACUCUCUAGAGAAGCCGAGGUCUUGGGCUGGGACACUGUGGGGACGCUUGGAGGCCGUUGGUUAUCUAGACCAGAGAUAGUGGGACAGUGUCCGGGAUGGAGUCUCCCAAUCCGCUGUGAGCAGGCGCAGACCCGGGAGGAGGCUGUGGGCCCCCGGGACACCUCUAAUCCCGCGCUGCGCCGGAUCUCCGGGACAAGUUGGCUCUUAGGACAGGACAGCUGCAUGAGGUGUGUUGGAAAGCCGGUGGAUUAGCGUGGGCAAAGGGAGCAGGCGGUGGCAACUCGAAACUUGGGAGUCUGCCCCAACCCUGUUAGGCGCCUCAGCUGCCAAGAAACAAUGUGACAAAAGUUAGCAACUUGUCCGUGUCUCUGUAAUGUGACGUGCGCAGGGCACAGUCCUCCGCCCCUUUGAUGAGUGCACCGGGGUGGGAAACCGUUGACACCGGGCAAGGCGACUCGGUUGGAGUACUGUUAGCUCCGAAUCGGACCGUUGCGCAAGCAACUUUGAGCCCUUGGAGUUUUUUAUUUGCUUGUUUGGUUGUUUUUUUUUUUUUUUAUCUUUUCUACGUGUGAGUGUUUGAGCGUGACCUUGCGGGAGGCAGCGCGGCUGAACUCGAGAUGGGCAUUGAGUUGACCGGUGCCCCCCUCGUGGUACAGUGUUGGGGACACCAUUGUUAUUGGUGUUUUGGCAUCGAGACGCUGAGGCAUGGAAACCAGUCAAGACCCAAGACUCCAGGCCAGGGGAGAUAACUUCAUCUCUUGCUGAAUCGAGUCCCCUGCUCAUCUCCCUGAAC
RNAcentral lists this long non-coding RNA (1150 nucleotides) under Cricetulus griseus (Chinese hamster). Its description in RNAcentral is "lncRNA (ENSCGRG00015033466.1)". Lineage: Eukaryota; Metazoa; Chordata; Mammalia; Rodentia; Cricetidae. The record is from RNAcentral.